CAAAGCAGGCAGCAAACGAUUUCAGUUCAGCGCAGGGACGCGCAGCCUGCGCAGGCCACCGUCUCGGUGGGGUGAGGUGAAGGCCUCCCAGCCCACACCUGGCGAGGGGUGACAGCCUGGGAAAUGUCCCCGCAGUGUCCACGCUGGCCCCCGCGGGGACAGCUGGCAUUCACCGACAGGACGAGCAGGGGCUGGGGCGAUGCCACAGCCCACCUGGAUGCUCGGCUGGCCCAGAAGAGCUUUUCUGGACACCCACAUUGUGUUGGGGGGGGUGUUGCCGCUGUACAGCCCUGUGCUGCUUGUGCCAGGCAGUGGGGCACAUCCUGCUGCGGUCUGGCCCCGCGAGCAUCCUCCCCUAACGACCCCGCUUCGUUCGUUACAGUUCAUCGUGAUCAGCUCCCUCCUGGAGCAGCCACCUCUGACGCUCUUCGACUACCAGUACCCCGAGUGGAGCAUCUCGGUGGGGUCCCUCAUCGGAGCCUCGUCCUUCGUCUGCAUCCCCGUCUACAUGGUGUACAAGCUCGUCUGGACACCGGGGUCCCUCAAGCAGCGCCUCGCCGUCUGCAUUCGGCCAGAGAAAACAACGCGAGGCCCCCAAGCCGAGGCGGUGUGCAUGUCACCCGCCCCGUAGCCUGGUGGUGGCACAUCCCUGGGGGACCCUUCCUGCUCCUGCCCCACCAGAGCAGCAGGACAGGCAGAAGAGAAGCUGCCGUCACCCUCCCCACAGCAAACCGCCCCUCGCGUCUCCCCCGGCGGCUGCACGUGCCGGCGGCAGCUCCAUCGAGUCCGACGAGCGUCUCGAUGGAAGCGGCACGGCCAGCACGGGCUGGAAAACCUCUGACCCACGGCAGGGCCCCGCCGCUGCGUCCCGUGGGCUGGGAGCGAAGUUUUGGAGGUGAAUCCCGACUCCUGGCGAAGACGGAGGCGCAGCGGCGGGGAAUCGCCGUCCGACGGCGCAAGCCCUCAGCACGCCUGGCUCAGGGACGCACGCAGCCUGGCCCGGCCCGAGCAGCGUGUGCCCUCGGUCCCGAGUGACACGGAAAAUAAACCUGCUACCAGCCGUUAGGAGAUGAGACA
RNAcentral lists this long non-coding RNA (1077 nucleotides) under Athene cunicularia (burrowing owl). Its description in RNAcentral is "lncRNA (ENSACUG00000012122.1)". Lineage: Eukaryota; Metazoa; Chordata; Aves; Strigiformes; Strigidae. The record is from RNAcentral.